Molecule: ribosomal RNA, 474 nt
Filed under: uncultured bacterium
Lineage: Bacteria
Description: bacterial SSU rRNA
Rfam family: Bacterial small subunit ribosomal RNA
Source: RNAcentral
CAGGCCUAACACAUGCAAGUCGAACGGUGGCACCAAUGUCCCACUGGCGCACUGGUGCGUAACACGUAGCUGGCCUACCCAGAACUGGGGGAUAGCCCGCCGACAGGCGGAUUACCACCGCAUAACAUCUACUGGUGGCAUCACUAGUUGAUUAAAUCUACGGAGGUUCUGGAUGGGGCUGCGGGUCAUUAUCUAUUUGGUAAGGUAACGGCUUACCAAGGCCACCAUCACUAGGGGAGCUGACAGGCUGGUCCCCCACACGGGCACUGAAAUACGGGCCCUAGUCCUACGGGAUGCAUCACUAUGGAAUAUUGGGCAAUGGGCGAGAGCCUGACCCACCCAUGCCGCGUGCACGAAGAAGGCUUUCUGAGUCGUCACCUGCUUCUGAUAGGGAACAAUAAGCCCCACCUGUCCUGUGAUGACAGCACCUACACAAUAAGCACCGGCUAACUCCGUGCCACCAGCCGCGGUACU